Molecule: ribosomal RNA, 606 nt
Filed under: uncultured Alphaproteobacteria bacterium
Lineage: Bacteria; Pseudomonadati; Pseudomonadota; Alphaproteobacteria
Description: bacterial SSU rRNA
Rfam family: Bacterial small subunit ribosomal RNA
Source: RNAcentral
CUGGCGGCAGGCCUAAUACAUGCAAGUCGAGCGCGCCCUUCGGGGUGAGCGGCGGACGGGUGAGUAACGCGUGGGAAUAUGCCCUUCUCUAAGGAAUAGCCUCUGGAAACGGAGAGUAAUACCUUAUACGCCCUUCGGGGGAAAGAUUUAUCGGAGAAGGAUUAGCCCGCGUUAGAUUAGGUAGUUGGUGGGGUAAUGGCCUACCAAGCCUACGAUCUAUAGCUGGUUUGAGAGGAUGAUCAGCCACACUGGGACUGAGACACGGCCCAGACUCCUACGGGAGGCAGCAGUAGGGAAUCUUAGACAAUGGGGGCAACCCUGAUCUAGCCAUGCCGCGUGUGUGAUGAAGGCCCUAGGGUCGUAAAGCACUUUCGCCAGAGAUGAUAAUGACAGUAUCUGGUAAAGAAACCCCGGCUAACUCCGUGCCAGCAGCCGCGGUAAUACGGAGGGGGUUAGCGUUGUUCGGAAUUACUGGGCGUAAAGCGCACGUAGGCGGAUUAGUAAGUUAGAGGUGAAAUCCCAGGGCUCAACCCUGGAACUGCCUUUAAUACUGCUAGUCUUGAGUUCGAGAGAGGUAAGUGGAAUUCCGAGUGUAGAGGUAAAAUU